UCCCUGGAGGUCCAGUGGUUAGGACUCGGCACUUUCACUGCUAGGGGCCUGGGUUCAAUUCCUGGUGGGGGAA
Non-coding RNA from Bos taurus (domestic cattle), 73 nucleotides. NCBI's taxonomy places the organism in Eukaryota, Metazoa, Chordata, Mammalia, Artiodactyla, Bovidae. The record is from Rfam.